ACGAAGGGGGCUAGCGUUGUUCGGAAUUACUGGGCGUAAAGGGCGCGUAGGCGGUUUGGUUAGUCAGAUGUGAAAGCCCCGGGCUUAACCCGGGAACUGCGUUUGAUACUGCCAAGCUUGAAUUCGGGAGAGGUGAGUGGAAUUCCCAGUGUAGAGGUGAAAUUCGUAGAUAUUGGGAAGAACACUAGUGGCGAAGGCGGCUCACUGGACCGACAUUGACGCUGAGGCGCGAAAGCGUGGGGAGCAAACAG
Molecule: ribosomal RNA, 251 nt
Filed under: uncultured prokaryote
Description: partial 16S rRNA
Rfam family: Bacterial small subunit ribosomal RNA
Source: RNAcentral